Molecule: ribosomal RNA, 760 nt
Filed under: uncultured bacterium
Lineage: Bacteria
Description: bacterial SSU rRNA
Rfam family: Bacterial small subunit ribosomal RNA
Source: RNAcentral
UGGUGCUUGCACCUGAUUGACGAUGGAUCACCAGUGAGUGGCGGACGGGUGAGUAACACGUAGGUAACCUGCCCCGGAGCGGGGGAUAACAUUUGGAAACAGAUGCUAAUACCGCAUAACAACAAAAGCCACAUGGCUUUUGUUUGAAAGAUGGCUUUGGCUAUCACUCUGGGAUGGACCUGCGGUGCAUUAGCUAGUUGGUAAGGUAACGGCUUACCAAGGCGAUGAUGCAUAGCCGAGUUGAGAGACUGAUCGGCCACAAUGGAACUGAGACACGGUCCAUACUCCUACGGGAGGCAGCAGUAGGGAAUCUUCCACAAUGGGCGCAAGCCUGAUGGAGCAACACCGCGUGAGUGAAGAAGGGUUUCGGCUCGUAAAGCUCUGUUGUUGGAGAAGAACGUGCGUGAGAGUAACUGUUCACGCAGUGACGGUAUCCAACCAGAAAGUCACGGCUAACUACGUGCCAGCAGCCGCGGUAAUACGUAGGUGGCAAGCGUUAUCCGGAUUUAUUGGGCGUAAAGCGAGCGCAGGCGGUUGCUUAGGUCUGAUGUGAAAGCCUUCGGCUUAACCGAAGAAGUGCAUCGGAAACCGGGCAACUUGAGUGCAGAAGAGGACAGUGGAACUCCAUGUGUAGCGGUGGAAUGCGUAGAUAUAUGGAAGAACACCAGUGGCGAAGGCGGCUGUCUGGUCUGCAACUGACGCUGAGGCUCGAAAGCAUGGGUAGCGAACAGGGAUUAGAUACCCUGGUAGUCCAUGCCGU